ACCUGGUUAUAUCCUGAGACAUUACCUGGUUAUAACCUAGUUAUAUACUGAGACAUUUCCUGGGUAUAACCUGGUUAUAACCUGGUUAUAUCCUGAGACAUUAC
This is a non-coding RNA of Xyrichtys novacula (pearly razorfish), 104 nucleotides long. The record is from the annotation of a GenBank genome assembly. Lineage: Eukaryota; Metazoa; Chordata; Actinopteri; Labriformes; Labridae.